GCGACCCCAGGUCAGGCGGGAUCACCCGCUGAGUUUAAGCAUAUCAAA
Molecule: ribosomal RNA, 48 nt
Filed under: Oreocharis humilis
Lineage: Eukaryota; Viridiplantae; Streptophyta; Magnoliopsida; Lamiales; Gesneriaceae
Description: partial 28S ribosomal RNA
Source: RNAcentral